UUUUUAUGAUGUUUUAGUCGGUUUAUAUAUAGUUCCCCUUUCUCUAAUGUGUUGUUCAUUGUUACAUCUGUUCUGUAAUCUGUGUGUUAUCUUGCUGGCUGCAAACAAACCUACUUAAGGGUACAAAUAAACGCACCUGAACCUGAACUGUAAUCACAUUAUAUUAAUAAUUAAAUCAUUCUUUUUUAUUUUCAUUCUUGUCUAGAACGAACAGCAAGUUUUGAAUUGAUCGGGCUGGUCAUAGCGAUACUCUGCUUGGUGAUUUCUCUGAUUGGAAAUGUUUCUCUCAUUUGCUUCCAAACUCCGAGAGAAGAAAGUGAACAAUCUAAAGCUGCUGUCGUCCUGCAAUUAAACAGCGAGAGGGUGAAAAAUCAACAGAUUGAUGAGGAGACUAAAGUUUACUCUGCUGUGGUCUUCACCAUGAGGAAAGCUGACCGUGGG
Labrus bergylta (ballan wrasse) is the source of this 441-nucleotide non-coding RNA. Lineage: Eukaryota; Metazoa; Chordata; Actinopteri; Labriformes; Labridae. The record is from RefSeq and is a predicted model, not a curated record.